AUGCGUUAUAGGCGGUUUGAUUGUUCCAGACAAGGGAAACGUGACAGCAAGUUGCUAACCAAGGAAGGACACAGCCGUAGGCUCAGAGCCGAGACACGCUGCUUUUGCGAAGCGCACCUGACCGUCAAGCUUGACCAAAAGCAUGGGGUUUGGUAUGUUGAAAGUUUUGAGGACAAGCAUAGCCAUAUGUUGGCAGGACCGAACGAGGUACCUUUUCUUUGGUCCCACAGAAAAAUCAAAGAGUACCAGAAGCAUGAGAUAAUGUCCAUGGGAGCUGCAGGGAUUAGAAUUCACGACAUGAUGGAUUGCUUCAUCAGCAAACAUGUAUGGUACGGCGGUGUUGGUUUUACCAGGCGUGAAAUAUAA
RNAcentral lists this ribosomal RNA (366 nucleotides) under Triticum aestivum (bread wheat). RNAcentral describes it as "partial small subunit ribosomal RNA". Lineage: Eukaryota; Viridiplantae; Streptophyta; Magnoliopsida; Poales; Poaceae. The record is from RNAcentral.